UGAAUAAUGAAUGUUUGCAAGGUUUUAUGUUUAGAAUGAAUUAUGUAAAAACAUAAUUUCAUACCGCAUUUUCCUUGAUUUCUGAUAGGAGUCACAGCACCUUGAGUCCUCCAGUCCACAGCGUCCGGGACAUUGCCUGCUGGGUCACAAACUGGUCUCUGCUUCUUGUGUAACCUCAAGGAAGACGUGUUCAACCCGAGAAAAUGGGCCUUAAACUCAGAAUUGGUCAUAUCUGCAAAUCUAUUAUCCGUUAGCUUAAAGGGCAAGUGGAGGGAGUUGAUGUAGUCAAUCAACUGGACGUUAGACUGAUAUAUCCCAAACCGUAGCAUCCACUCAUCCCUUCCUCCAUAUAAUUUGCUGUGGGUUUUAAGCCACUUCUCGAACCGCUGCUUCAGGGUUUUGUGUGGGUCAUACACAGAGGAAUCGACGGAACAUAGCUUUGAAGCUAUCAAGACAAAGCAAAUCAAAACGGCAAGGGUCAGGUUAGAAUUUCGAAGUACAUUCAGCAUUUUUG
RNAcentral lists this long non-coding RNA (514 nucleotides) under Arabidopsis thaliana (thale cress). Its description in RNAcentral is "potential natural antisense gene, locus overlaps with AT1G06260 (AT1G06265)". Lineage: Eukaryota; Viridiplantae; Streptophyta; Magnoliopsida; Brassicales; Brassicaceae. The record is from RNAcentral.